AUCACCUGGGCAUCUUGUUAAAAUGCAGACUCUGUUUUAGUAUGUCUGGAGCUGGACCUGAUAUUCUGCAUUUCUAACAAACUCCCAGAUGGUGCUGA
RNAcentral lists this microRNA precursor (98 nucleotides) under Camelus bactrianus (Bactrian camel). RNAcentral's name for it is "mir-544 microRNA precursor family". It matches the Rfam family "mir-544 microRNA precursor family". RNAcentral also lists the same sequence under 1 other name. The record is from Rfam by way of RNAcentral. Lineage: Eukaryota; Metazoa; Chordata; Mammalia; Artiodactyla; Camelidae.